RNAcentral lists this ribosomal RNA (274 nucleotides) under uncultured bacterium. RNAcentral's name for it is "partial 16S ribosomal RNA". It matches the Rfam family "Bacterial small subunit ribosomal RNA", at positions 523 to 796 of the family's 1533-position model. The record is from RNAcentral.
AUACGGAGGGUGCAAGCGUUACUCGGAAUCACUGGGCGUAAAGCGCGCGCAGGCGGCUAUUUAAGUUGGAUGUGAAAGCCUACGGCUCAACCGUAGAACUGCAUCCAAAACUAUUUAGCUAGAGUAUGGGAGAGGAAGAUGGAAUUAGUUGUGUAGGGGUAAAAUCCGUAGAGAUAACUAGGAAUACCAAAAGCGAAGGCAAUCUUCUGGAACACUACUGACGCUGAGGCGCGAAAGCGUGGGGAGCAAACAGGAUUAGAAACCCUAGUAGUCC